RNAcentral lists this ribosomal RNA (450 nucleotides) under uncultured bacterium. Its description in RNAcentral is "partial 16S ribosomal RNA". It matches the Rfam family "Bacterial small subunit ribosomal RNA", at positions 354 to 796 of the family's 1533-position model. The record is from RNAcentral.
GUGGGGAAUUUUGGACAAUGGGCGCAAGCCUGAUCCAGCAAUGCCGCGUGCAGGAAGAAGGCCUUCGGGUUGUAAACUGCUUUUGUACGGAACGAAAAGCUCUGGGCUAAUACCCCGGAGUCAUGACGGUACCGUAAGAAUAAGCACCGGCUAACUACGUGCCAGCAGCCGCGGUAAUACGUAGGGUGCAAGCGUUAAUCGGAAUUACUGGGCGUAAAGCGUGCGCAGGCGGUUUUGUAAGACAGGCGUGAAAUCCCCGGGCUCAACCUGGGAAUUGCGCUUGUGACUGCAAGGCUAGAGUGUGUCAGAGGGAGGUGGAAUUCCGCGUGUAGCAGUGAAAUGCGUAGAGAUGCGGAGGAACACCGAUGGCGAAGGCAGCCUCCUGGGAUAACACUGACGCUCAGGCACGAAAGCGUGGGGAGCAAACAGGAUUAGAUACCCUUGUAGUCC